GACGAACGCUGGCGGCGUGCUUAACACAUGCAAGUCGAGCGGUAAGGCCCUUCGGGUACACGAGCGGCGAACGGGUGAGUAACACGUGGGUGACCUGCCCUCCACUUCGGGAUAAGCCCGGGAAACUGGGUCUAAUACCGGUUAGGACCUCCUCAUGCAUGUGGGGUGGUGGAAAGCUUGUGUCUUUGAUGCUUGCGGUGGGGAUGGGCCCGCGGUCUAUCAGCUUGUUGGUGGGGUGANGGCCUACCAAGGCGACGACGGAUAGCCGGCCUGAGAGGGUGAUCGGCCACACUGGGACUGAGACACGGCCCAGACUCCUACGGGAGGCAGCAGUGGGGAAUCUUGCGCAAUGGGCGGAAGCCUGACGCAGCAACGCCGCGU
This 381-nucleotide ribosomal RNA is filed under the name uncultured bacterium. RNAcentral's name for it is "bacterial SSU rRNA". It matches the Rfam family "Bacterial small subunit ribosomal RNA", at positions 28 to 402 of the family's 1533-position model. The record is from RNAcentral.